RNAcentral lists this ribosomal RNA (266 nucleotides) under uncultured bacterium. Its description in RNAcentral is "partial 16S ribosomal RNA". It matches the Rfam family "Bacterial small subunit ribosomal RNA", at positions 793 to 1055 of the family's 1533-position model. The record is from RNAcentral.
GUCCAUGCCGUAAACGUUGGGCACUAGGUGUGGGGGACAUUCCACGUUUUUCCGCGCCGUAGCUAACGCAUUAAGUGCCCCGCCUGGGGAGUACGGCCGCAAGGCUAAAACUCAAAGGAAUUGACGGGGGCCCGCACAAGCGGCGGAGCAUGCGGAUUAAUUCGAUGCAACGCGAAGAACCUUACCAAGGCUUGACAUGUGCCAGACCGCCGUGGAAACACGGUUUCCCCUUUGGGGCUGGUUCACAGGUGGUGCAUGGUUGUCGU